CCUGUCCUUAGAGGUGUCCGAAGUGUGGCUAUUAUGUAACAUGUGCAUGCCUGGGUGACAGAGAAGAGGCCAUAUCUGUGCUAAGUAUUUUGACCUGUGAAUAUCUGAAUCAUUAGUAGUAUAACAUU
Small nucleolar RNA from Apodemus sylvaticus (European woodmouse), 128 nucleotides. RefSeq annotates it as small nucleolar RNA SNORA17. NCBI's taxonomy places the organism in Eukaryota, Metazoa, Chordata, Mammalia, Rodentia, Muridae. The transcript has a single exon. The record is from RefSeq and is a predicted model, not a curated record.